UGGGAAUAUUGCACAAUGGGGGAAACCCUGAUGCAGCGACGCCGCGUGAACGAAGAAGGUAUUCGUAUCGUAAAGUUCUGUCCUAUGGGAAGAUAAUGACAGUACCAUAGAAGAAAGCUCCGGCUAAAUACGUGCCAGCAGCCGCGGUAAUACGUAUGGAGCGAGCGUUGUCCGGAAUUAUUGGGCGUAAAGGGUACGCAGGCGGUUUAAUAAGUCGAAUGUUAAAGAUCGGGGCUCAACCCCGUAAAGCAUUGGAAACUGAUAAACUUGAGUAGUGGAGAGGAAAGUGGAAUUCCUAGUGUAGUGGUGAAAUACGUAGAUAUUAGGAGGAAUACCAGUAGCGAAGGCGACUUUCUGGACACAAACUGACGCUGAGGUACGAAAGCGUGGGGAGCAAACAGG
Molecule: ribosomal RNA, 402 nt
Filed under: bacterium
Lineage: Bacteria
Description: partial 16S ribosomal RNA
Rfam family: Bacterial small subunit ribosomal RNA
Source: RNAcentral